Molecule: ribosomal RNA, 1971 nt
Filed under: human gut metagenome
Description: bacterial LSU rRNA
Rfam family: Bacterial large subunit ribosomal RNA
Source: RNAcentral
UUAAGUGAAUAAGGGCGCACGGUGGAUGCCUUGGCACUAGGAGCCGAUGAAGGACGGGACUAACACCGAUAUGCUUUGGGGAGCUGUACGUAAGCUAUGAUCCAGAGAUUUCCGAAUGGGGGAACCCAGCAUCUUUAAUAGGAUGUUACGAUUGUGUGAAUACAUAGCACAUUCGAGGUAGACGCAGAGAACUGAAACAUCUAAGUACCUGCAGGAAGAGAAAGAAAAUUCGAUUCCCUGAGUAGCGGCGAGCGAAACGGGAAAAGCCCAAACCAGCAAGCUUGCUUGUUGGGGUUGUAGGACUCCAAUAUGGUAGUUCUUUCAGAUAGUCGAAUGACUUGGAAAAGUCAGUCAAAGAGGGUAAAAACCCCGUAGACGAAAUGUGGAAGACACCUAGGAGGAUCCUGAGUACGGCGGAACACGAGAAAUUCCGUCGGAAUCCGGGAGGACCAUCUCCCAAGGCUAAAUACUCCCUAGUGACCGAUAGUGAACCAGUACCGUGAGGGAAAGGUGAAAAGCACCCCGGAAGGGGAGUGAAAUAGAACCUGAAACCGUGUGCCUACAACAAGUCAAAGCCCGUUAAUGGGUGAUGGCGUGCCUUUUGUAGAAUGAACCGGCGAGUUACGAUUGCAUGCGAGGUUAAGUUGAAGAGACGGAGCCGCAGCGAAAGCGAGUCUGAAUAGGGCGUUUGAGUAUGUAGUCGUAGACCCGAAACCAUGUGAUCUACCCAUGUCCAGGUUGAAGGUGCGGUAAAACGCACUGGAGGACCGAACCCACGUACGUUGAAAAGUGCGGGGAUGAGGUGUGGGUAGCGGAGAAAUUCCAAACGAACUUGGAGAUAGCUGGUUCUCUCCGAAAUAGCUUUAGGGCUAGCCUCGGAAUUGAGAAUGAUGGAGGUAGAGCACUGUUUGGACUAGGGGCCCAUCUCGGGUUACCGAAUUCAGAUAAACUCCGAAUGCCAUUCAUUCAUAUCCGGGAGUCAGACUGUGAGUGAUAAGAUCCAUAGUCGAAAGGGAAACAGCCCAGACCACCAGCUAAGGUCCCAAAAUAUAUGUUAAGUGGAAAAGGAUGUGGGGUUGCACAGACAACUAGGAUGUUGGCUUAGAAGCAGCCACCAUUUAAAGAGUGCGUAAUAGCUCACUAGUCGAGUGACCCUGCGCCGAAAAUGUACCGGGGCUAAACAUAUUACCGAAGCUGUGGAGUACACCUUUAGGUGUAUUGGUAGGAGAGCGUUCUAAGGGCGUUGAAGGCAGAUCGUGAGGACUGCUGGAGCGCUUAGAAGUGAGAAUGCCGGUAUGAGUAGCGAAAGACAGGUGAGAAUCCUGUCCACCGAAUGACUAAGGUUUCCUGGGGAAGGCUCGUCCGCCCAGGGUUAGUCGGGACCUAAGCCGAGGCCGACAGGCGUAGGCGAUGGAUAACAGGUUGAUAUUCCUGUACCCGUUGUUUUUGUUUGAGCAAUGGAGGGACGCAGGAGGCUAAGGAAUGCAGACGAUCGGAAAUGUCUGUCCAAGCAGUAAGUCUGAAGAGGAGUCAAAUGCUUCUUUUCUUAAGGACAAGCUGUGAUGGGGAGGGAAAUAAUAGUACCGAAGUUCCUGAUGUCACACUGCCGAGAAAAGCUUCUAGUGAGAAAACAGCGGCCCGUACCGCAAACCGACACAGGUAGUCGAGGAGAGAAUCCUAAGGUGAGCGAGAGAACUCUCGUUAAGGAACUCGGCAAAAUGACCCCGUAACUUCGGGAGAAGGGGUGCUGAUCAUACGAUCAGCCGCAGUGAAUAGGCCCAAGCGACUGUUUAUCAAAAACACAGGUCUCUGCAAAAUCGUAAGAUGAAGUAUAGGGGCUGACGCCUGCCCGGUGCUGGAAGGUUAAGAGGAGUGCUUAGCGCAAGCGAAGGUAUGAAUUGAAGCCCCAGUAAACGGCGGCCGUAACUAUAACGGUCCUAAGGUAGCGAAAUUCCUUGUCGGGUAAGUUCC